ACCCUGCACUUACAAGCUGUGGAAGCACAUUUCUUGUGUGACCGCGUACUUUUUGUAGAACGGGCCAACGAGUUACGUUAAGUAGCAAGGUUAAGCACUUAAGGUGUGGAGCCGUAGCGAAAGCGAGGUUUAACUGAGCGGUCAGUUACUUGACGUAGACCCGAAACCGGGCGACCUACCCAUGAGCAGGAUGAAGCGAAAGUAAAAUUUCGUGGAGGUCCGAACCCACGAGCG
Molecule: ribosomal RNA, 234 nt
Filed under: Clostridioides difficile
Lineage: Bacteria; Bacillati; Bacillota; Clostridia; Peptostreptococcales; Peptostreptococcaceae
Description: partial 23S ribosomal RNA
Rfam family: Bacterial large subunit ribosomal RNA
Source: RNAcentral